This 412-nucleotide ribosomal RNA is filed under the name Macaca tonkeana (Tonkean macaque). Its description in RNAcentral is "partial 12S ribosomal RNA". It matches the Rfam family "Bacterial small subunit ribosomal RNA", at positions 925 to 1523 of the family's 1533-position model. Lineage: Eukaryota; Metazoa; Chordata; Mammalia; Primates; Cercopithecidae. The record is from RNAcentral.
CCCUAGAGGAGCCUGUUCCAUAAUCGAUAAACCCCGAUCCACCUCACCCUCUCUUGCUUAGCCUAUAUACCGCCAUCUUCAGCAAACCCUGAUAAAGGUUACAAAGUGAGCACAAACGCCCUGCCGCCGCAAAAACGUUAGGUCAAGGUGUAGCCCAUGAGGGGGGUAAAAAUGGGCUACAUUUUCUACAUCAGAAAACCCCACGAAAACUCUUAUGAAACCUAAGAGUCCAAGGAGGAUUUAGCAGUAAAUUAAGAAUAGAGUGCUUAAUUGAACCAGGCCAUAAAGCGCGUACACACCGCCCGUCACUCCCCUCAAAUGUAUUUAAAGGACAUCUUAACUAAACACCCUAAUAUUUACAUAGAGGGGAUAAGUCGUAACAUGGUAAGUGUACUGGAAGGUGCACUUGGAU